UACGUAGGUGGCGAGCGUUAUCCGGAUUUAUUGGGCGUAAAGCGUGCGCAGGCGGUUUGUUAAGUCUAAAAUAAAAGCCCGAAGCUUAACUUCGGUUCGUUUUAGAAACUGGCAAACUCGAGUAUGGUAGAGGCAAAUGGAAUUCCUAGUGUAGCGGUGGAAUGCGUAGAUAUUAGGAGGAACACCAGUGGCGAAGGCGAUUUGCUGGGCCAUUACUGACGCUCAUGCACGAAAGCGUGGGGAGC
Molecule: ribosomal RNA, 245 nt
Filed under: uncultured Bacillota bacterium
Lineage: Bacteria; Bacillati; Bacillota
Description: uncultured Firmicutes bacterium partial 16S ribosomal RNA
Rfam family: Bacterial small subunit ribosomal RNA
Source: RNAcentral